CAAAUUGAGCACUAAUAACUGAAUUCACCAACGCAGACUGGCUUGGGAAGUGGGAAGCGACCCAAAGGCCAAAGACGACUCGGCGCUAGCAUGAAGAAGCCUGAUCUAAGUAGCUUCAGACCUCCAUCUCUUGCAGCAGCAGGACCCAUUUUUCCUAGAGGAAAAAACAUCAUCAAAACUACUAUUUCAAGGCCAAAAACAUCAUCUAUAAAGAACAGUAUAGAUAAUAAUGAAAAGACAACAUCAGUAGAAGAAAUAAGAGUUUGCACUAACAGGACUUGCAGGAGACAAGGUUCAUUAGAUAUUCUUCAAAUUCUAUCUGGGAUUGCCCCUCCUUCUGUCUCCGUCAACUCCUGUGGCUGCCUCGGCCGCUGUGGUGCCGGUCCCAACGUCGUCGUUUUGCCUCAGGGAGCCUUUGUCGGCCACUGUUCGUCCCCUGCUAAAGCAGCCCGUCUCAUGGUUUCGUUGGUUUGCGGUUUUCAUAGGAAUGAUAAGGACUUUGAGAGGAGUAGUAUGGAGUGUCUGGAAGCAUUUGCUUUGAGGAAGAGAGCUGAAGAUGAGAUGGAAAAGGGGAAUCUUGAUGGAGCCCUGCUUUUUCUUUCACAGGCUAUAGAACUUAGGCCAUUUGGAGGUGUCCAUAUAACGUAUAAAACCAGGUCUACAGCAAGGUUAGCCAUGGGAAACAUCUGCGAAGCUCUUGAUGAUGCUAAAGAAGCUUUGACCCUUGCAGCAAAUUACCCUGAGGGUUAUAUCUGCCAAGGUGAUGCUUUAAUGGCCAUGGACCAAAUUGAUGCUGCAGAAAAGUCUUAUGCAAUGGCUUUGGAGUUAGAACCUUCUCUUUGCCGUUCCAAGUCUUUCAAGGUGUGAUGCCAUCUUGAUGUUCUGGUACACAUGUUCAUCAAAGAUGUUUUAUGGCCCUAUCUGGCUCGGAUUGCAGCGCUUCAAGAGAAACUCUCUCCUGCAAAUUCAGCUUAAGGCAUUAUUUCGGCUGCAUGUGUACAUAUGUUAAAUUAACAUUAUGGAGCGUACACCUUAAAUCAAUGGGAUUAUUCUUUGCUUGCAUGCUCUUGCGGAAUGUUGAAAACAAUACGGGUAAUAUUCAAUUUCUUUAAUUCUCAGCUUCGAACUGAGCUUCCAAAUUAUUUGUUGUGAUGAAAAUUUUUGUCUUGUUUUGCCUGUCAAAAGUGUGAUCAUGAAUUCAACAAUAAAUUUAGAUGCACAAUGCCAAUCUCGUGUUUGUCAUAUUCAUUUAUGUUCUUUCUGUUUGUCUAUGUUUAUGUGAUUUCAUAACUUGCAUGGGUUCUUCACAGGAUUGAUAUAUUUUUCUUCCACCUGGCCUUUUUCGGUAUACCAAUAUCUGUGCCCUCGAUUACCAGCCAGUUCUCUACCAGUGCGAAACAUCUGGAAUCAAUUGAAGUGACCACCUAGCGUUGUAAGAAUAAAAGAAGACCAUUUUUUCAACAUCCUCAACUUCAGUUUAGAUAGGAAAUGAUGAAAAUAAAAUAGUUAACAACUUAAGCUGUAUAAUUAGAGGUGGUUAAUAAAUCUAAAGUUGAACUGAUUUUGUUACCAUGUACAUAGUCCCUUGGCCAUAAUUUUAUUCCAUGUAUAGACUCUGAAAUUGUCAUAGAUAUUCCUCCAUGAAGCUUCUUUUUUCCUCUCUCAGUGGGAUGACUUCC
This is a non-coding RNA of Coffea arabica (coffee), 1679 nucleotides long. The record is from RefSeq and is a predicted model, not a curated record. NCBI's taxonomy places the organism in Eukaryota, Viridiplantae, Streptophyta, Magnoliopsida, Gentianales, Rubiaceae.